This 822-nucleotide ribosomal RNA is filed under the name uncultured Bacillota bacterium. RNAcentral's name for it is "bacterial SSU rRNA". It matches the Rfam family "Bacterial small subunit ribosomal RNA", at positions 57 to 868 of the family's 1533-position model. Lineage: Bacteria; Bacillati; Bacillota. The record is from RNAcentral.
GCAGUCGAACGCGACUGGGGGCUUCGGCUCUCAGUUGAGUGGCGAACGGGUGAGUAACACGUGGGUGACCUACCUUCGAAUGGGGGAUAACGUCCCGAAAGGGACGCUAAUACCGCAUAACAUCCUGCCUUUGAACAGGUGGAGAUCAAAGCUGGGGAUCGUAAGACCUGGCGUUUGGAGAGGGGCCCGCGUCCGAUUAGCUAGUUGGUGAGGUAACGGCCCACCAAGGCAACGAUCGGUAGCCGGCCUGAGAGGGCGGACGGCCACACUGGGACUGAGACACGGCCCAGACUCCUACGGGAGGCAGCAGUGGGGAAUUGUUCGCAAUGGGCGCAAGCCUGACGACGCAACGCCGCGUGGAGGAUGAAGGUCUUCGGAUUGUAAACUCCUGUUGCCCGGGACGAAACACUCUGACCUAACACGUCAGAGUCUGACGGUACCGGGUGAGGAAGCCCCGGCUAACUCUGUGCCAGCAGCCGCGGUAAUACAGAGGGGGCUAGCGUUGUUCGGAAUUACUGGGCGUAAAGGGCGCGUAGGUGGCCUGUUAAGUCGAACGUGAAAUCCCCGGGCUCAACCCGGGAACUGCGUCCGAGACUGGCAGGCUCGAAUCCGGGAGAGGGAUGUGGAAUUCCAGGUGUAGCGGUGAAAUGCGUAAAUAUCUGGAGAACACCGGUGGCGAAGGCGGCAUCCUGGACCGUUUUUGACGCUGAGGGCCGAAAGCCAGGGAACAAACGGGAUAAAUACCCGGUAGUCCUGGCCCUAACGAUGAUGCUUGGUGUGGCGGGUAUCGAUUCCUGCCGUGCCAAACUUACGCAUUAACAU